Molecule: ribosomal RNA, 253 nt
Filed under: uncultured bacterium
Lineage: Bacteria
Description: partial 16S ribosomal RNA
Rfam family: Bacterial small subunit ribosomal RNA
Source: RNAcentral
UACGAAGGGGGCUAGCGUUGCUCGGAAUCACUGGGCGUAAAGGGUGCGUAGGCGGGUCUUUAAGUCAGGGGUGAAAUCCUGGAGCUCAACUCCAGAACUGCCUUUGAUACUGAAGAUCUUGAGUUCGGGAGAGGUGAGUGGAACUGCGAGUGUAGAGGUGAAAUUCGUAGAUAUUCGCAAGAACACCAGUGGCGAAGACGGCUCUCUGGCCCGAUACUGACGCUGAGGCACGAAGGUCAGGGGAGCAAACGGG